UGUAUAAGAGACAGCAGUAGCCACGGGAAUACGUAGGUGGCAAGCGUUGUCCGGAAUUAUUGGGCGUAAAGCGCGCGCAGGCGGAUCAGUUAGUCUGUCUUAAAAGUUCGGGGCUUAACCCCGUGAGGGGAUGGAAACUGCUGAUCUAGAGUAUCGGAGAGGAAAGUGGAAUUCCUAGUGUAGCGGUGAAAUGCGUAGAUAUUAGGAAGAACACCAGUGGCGAAGGCGACUUUCUGGACGAAAACUGACGCUGAGGCGCGAAAGCCAGGGGAGCGAACGGGAUUAGAUACCCCUGUAGUCCCUGUCUCUUAUACC
RNAcentral lists this ribosomal RNA (315 nucleotides) under uncultured bacterium. RNAcentral describes it as "partial 16S ribosomal RNA". It matches the Rfam family "Bacterial small subunit ribosomal RNA", at positions 498 to 808 of the family's 1533-position model. The record is from RNAcentral.